GCCAGCAGCCAUAUCACCCUGCAACUCACAACUGGCAACCCACUGAAGCUAAGCAGGUGUGAGCCUGGUCAGCACCUGGAUGGAAGACCUCCUGGGAAAAUCUAAGGUUGCUGCUGGAA
Molecule: ribosomal RNA, 119 nt
Organism: Lepisosteus oculatus (spotted gar)
Lineage: Eukaryota; Metazoa; Chordata; Actinopteri; Semionotiformes; Lepisosteidae
Source: Ensembl